This 2308-nucleotide long non-coding RNA is filed under the name Triticum aestivum (bread wheat). RNAcentral's name for it is "long non-coding RNA (TAES_LNC007987)". The record is from RNAcentral. Lineage: Eukaryota; Viridiplantae; Streptophyta; Magnoliopsida; Poales; Poaceae.
UCAGUUCGAAAUUGCUGCGGAUGGAGGACGUGAAGAAGAGCAGCAGCAGCAGCGAUCUGCAGUAGGAGAGCGUGGAGAGGAGCAGCAGAGAGGAAGACUAGGACAGUCACACGUACAAAUCUUCUUGUCCGAAAUUUUACAUGGACAUAAAAGCAAAAAUAGCAAAUAACACUAAUGAAUUCCUCACUUCAACUAAGGUCCACAUUUUCAGAUCAGUGACUCUUUCAUUAUCCAUCGAACCUGCAUGCGGAAGCAAUAUAGUAAUAAGUUUCAUGUGCGAAAUCUAGACAUCAGAUUGUACACCAUUUCCUAACAAUGGUAAACUUGACAUCCAACAUCACAGAAUGACAAUAAAUUUGUGAACACAUAGUACAGCUAGGUAAUAUCUGUGAAGACAUAGUGCAUCACAAGCAGUAAAUAGUAUAACUAGCUUUCACCUCUUGUACGACAGCCGCUAGCAAGUUCAAAUAGUCCAAUUCAAUUGUUGAUCGAUUGAAUUUUCAUCAUGAUACAACACCAGCUGCAGCUGCCAAGGUUCAGCUAGUCCCAAAGUUCAAGGAUUUAUUUUUCUUUCUUGGUUGACUAAAACCGGCAAGGAGCUAAGCUGAGAGGAACACAACAAACACUCAAGCCAAGUAAAAUAAAGCAUUGAUCUUCCAGGAAACCAAGAGGCUAAACAGAGAGGCAUUCACAUGUUAAGGGAAAGAAAUGGAAGUCAACAAUAAGUUUAAUCAAGGUGCAUCUUCAGAGUGACACCUUUGUGCAUUUUCAAACUAUUGUCCACUUGAUUUUCAGAAAAUACUAUGAAAUAAAUAUAAUAGUCUUGUCAACAAAUGAUAUAAGUGUAUGUACUCCCACUGAUUUGAUAUAGGUCCAAGUAUUACUCUUAACAUAUAGAAAUAUACAGGUACAUGUAAUCAUCUCUCAUCUUGUCCCUGUUAUUCAGAUUUGGAUAAAAAAAUCAACACUGGAUUCGGAGUACUACUCGAUAUAGAUUCUCAAAAUCAUCAUUUAGUUUAGCAGACAUCUGUUAUAUUUUUUAAACCUUCUUGUACAUUUGCUUUAUAAGAAAAUAAUCUUUGCCUUGUUCUUAUUAUAGAUGUUCUCCAUUCCUGGGCACAAAUCUGUUAUUACCUUAGAAGAGUCAUGUACAUACAUGUUCCUAUUUAUAUUGCAAAUAGGGUCCUUGUUCUGAGUAUUCUCACUUGUGUUCUCUCCCAUAUAUACAUGGACUCUAUACUGAAACUAUAAAUUCAAUGUUAUUAGUUUUGUAGUGGAUAUGACAAUAAGGGAUGACAUUUAAAAAUAGAAGGGAGAAAGAGUACUAGGACUUUGUACACUUUUUCCUUGUGCAAAUCCAUGCCACAUUUUCAGUGACUUGUAACCGAUAAUAAAAAUUUACCGACGUUUGUGAUGGCAGGUACACAAUGAAAGACUGAAGCUAGGGGAGAUCACACAGUUCAGUGAGAUGCUAUUAUGUGUUAGUCAUGAUGUACUCACAUUAAAAAAAUUGUUUUAAAUAUUUACAGUCCCAAAAUCUUGAAUAUUUCUGAAACUUCAACUAUAAUUUCUAACUGUGGAUGUGCCCUGCUUACACUAUAUAAGAAAUGUAUCAAAUGUUCCCUGAAAAACUGAAUUCAAAGAUGAAUGUUUACUCAGUGCGAUGCUUACACUACAUUCCCUGAAUAUUUCAAGCAUUCCCUGUACAAACUGAAUUCAUUGAUGAAUGUUUACUUAGUGCAACGUUUAAACUGUAUUCCUGUAUAAAUACUGUUCAAUCCUUGACCAACCGAACAGCGAUGAAGUAGACAGGGAUUAUGAGGGAUAGUGGACAAACCCCAACAGGGAUUAGAGUGACAGAAAGAGGUUUCACUCAAACCCCAUAUUGAUCAAUUCACUGUUGGGAACAAAUCACAAACUGAACAUAGCCCAGGUGGUACAGUACAUCUCUGAAAUUGUAACAAGCCCGAAGCUCCUCCCUCUCAGUUGAUUUGAUCGCAAAGACAGGGGAAUGGAUUCAUCUCUCCUAUCUGACAGUCCAUCCCCUUCAUUAUCUACCAAAUCACGUCCCACGGCCAUGUCUCGAGGUGGCCAUGAAUAAGGUCACUAGAUGAGAGGAGACGGGAAGGAGGAAGGGAGGGAGGGUUACCUCGAAGGCCAGUCUCGCCCGUACAUGGUAAGGGAGAAGAAGGGCGGCCGGAGGAGCGGCGCGCCGCCGGCGGGCAGGCUGGAUGGGCAGACAGAGGAGCAGGGGACGCAAGCAGCAUCCGACUUGCAGCUUUCCUACCGCGGCCUUGCGGCUUCUAAA